GGAAGGAUCAUUAACACUCAAAAUACAAUCACACCUUUUGUUGAACUUCGUAAAUCAGUUGUGUCCGAAAUGUGUUUAACUUCGGUUAAUCGCCUUUCGUUGACCUACCCCAAAAAUUACGAACUCAAUUAUUUUUACCCCAUACAAACUCUGUCUGAAACUUUAAAAACAACUUAGGUUGAAUUAUGAUUAAUUGUAAGACAACCUUUGGCAGUGGAUAUCUUGGCUCUUGCAUCGAUGAAGAACGCAGCAAACUGCGAUAAGUAGUGUGAAUCGCAGAAUUCUGUGAAUCAUCAAAACUUUGAACGCACCUUGCAGUCCAAUGGGGGGCAACUCUCAUUGGACUAUACCUGUUUGAGAAUUGAUUACUUUCUAUCAAAAACGUAAGUUUUUGGAAGAUGAGGAUGAACCGACUUUAAACCUUGGUUCUUCCUUUAAUGAAUCAAUCCUCGAGUUUCUCUCAGUUUUACUGAGAGAGGCGCAAAAAAAAGCAAGAGAAAAAAAAUCCGUCGGCAGCAAAAAUGGUCGUUUGCUGUUGCUGAUUAGGGUCAUUGUAGGAUUGCAAUGCCUAUAUUAUAAUAUAAGCAUUGCGUUAAAAUUCUCAGUGUAUUCGAAAAGCAACCGUUUAGAAAGGCGAACAAUCAAUUAACUGCUCGGCAGUCCUUUUUUUCUUUUGAUUCCCUUUUUUUUUUUAAUCUCAAAUCAGGUAAGAGUACCCGCUGAACUUAAGCAUAUUACUAAGCGGAGGAAAAGAAACUAACUAGGAUUCCCUCAGUAACGGCGAGUGAACAGGGAAAAGCUCAUGGUUAAAAUCGGGUAGCUUCGCUGCUCGAGUUGUACUUUUGAGAGGCGUGUCUAGGGAAGGUUCCAGAGAUAAGUACCCUCAGAAUGGGUCAUCAAAGAGGGUGAAAAUCCCGUAUUUGCCCUGGAUCCCUUUCCAAUACGGACUGCCUUCGUAGAGUCAGGCUGUUUGGGAUUGCAGCCCUAAGUGGGUGGUAAGCUUCAUCUAAAGCUAAAUAUUGGCAAGAGACCGAUAGCAAACAAGUACCGCGAGGGAAAGAUGAAAAGAACUUUGAAAAGAGAGUGAUAAUAGUCCUUGAAACUGCCAAAGUGACAAGCGAUAGGAGUUGUCGUUGCGUCCUCUUAUUCUCUCUGCGAAUUCGACCGGCCAAUACGGAAGAGUGUCAAAACCUUUCGUCGUUGGUGCAGCCGAGAAUUGCGGAAGAGAUAUAGGAGGAUGCCGGCCAAUGACGGUUUCGGAAGUGUCUUUAAGCCGGGGGAAGGUAGGUCGAAGGGGCUUGCUCCUUCUUCUGUUAUAGCCCUUGGUGGAAACACAUCCUUGACCGGGAGAGGUUUUCCAAAAGCCUGACAGGAGAAAGGAACUUGGUUGUCGGUUGGGGGCGCCGGGGAUAGGUAGCAGUGCUUGCACUGAUAUGUGUCUUCCGGUGUUCCACGGCGGUCAUCUUGCUUCUCUUAUCACACUGGCAAUUGGAUGGCUUCUAUCGUCCCGUCUUGAAACACGGACCAAGGAGUCUAACAUAUAUGCGAGUAUUCGGGUGAUCAAACCCAAGAAUGCGUAAUGAAAGUGAAGGGGCGCAAGCCCUGAGGUAGGAAUCUCUCCCUCGGGAGAGAGGCACUAUCGACCGAUCUGGAUGUUUUUUGAAGGAUUUGAGUAAGAGCAUAUCUGUUAGGACCCGAAAGACGGUGAACUAUGCCUGUGUAGGGUAAAGCCAGAGGAAACUCUGGUGGAGGCUCGUAGCGAUACUGACGUGCAAAUCGUUCGUCAAACAUGGGUAUAGGGGCGAAAGACUAAUCGAACCGUCUAGUAGCUGGUUCCCUC
This 1840-nucleotide unclassified non-coding RNA is filed under the name uncultured fungus. RNAcentral describes it as "sequence contains 18S rRNA gene, ITS1, 5.8S rRNA gene, ITS2, 28S rRNA gene". The stretch from base 693 to 1840 matches the Rfam family "Eukaryotic large subunit ribosomal RNA", at positions 1 to 961 of the family's 3401-position model. The record is from RNAcentral. Lineage: Eukaryota; Fungi.